UGCCAGCCGCCGCGGUAAGACGGAGGGUGCAAACGUUAUUCGGAAUUAUUGGGCUUAAAGGGUGCGUAGGCGGUGCGGUAAGUGAGGUGUGAAAGCUCGGGGCUCAACCCCGGAAGUGCACUUGAAACAGCAAGACUUGAAUACGGUAGAGGAGAGAGGAAUUCCUGGUGUAGAGGUGAAAUUCGUAGAUAUCAGGAGGAACACCGAUGGCGAAGGCAUCUCUCUGGGCCGAUAUUGACGCUGAGGCGCGAAGGCGUGGGUAGCGAACGGGAUUAGAUA
This 279-nucleotide ribosomal RNA is filed under the name uncultured bacterium. Its description in RNAcentral is "partial 16S ribosomal RNA". It matches the Rfam family "Bacterial small subunit ribosomal RNA", at positions 506 to 784 of the family's 1533-position model. The record is from RNAcentral.